Chiloscyllium plagiosum (whitespotted bambooshark) is the source of this 5474-nucleotide non-coding RNA. The record is from RefSeq and is a predicted model, not a curated record. NCBI's taxonomy places the organism in Eukaryota, Metazoa, Chordata, Chondrichthyes, Orectolobiformes, Hemiscylliidae.
GAACAGAAAUUAUGGAAAGAUUAGCCCAAAUUAAACUACAAAGUAUGGAAUGCUAUAAUGUCCCAUCAAUGUGCACUUCGGAAUAUUUCAAAAGCUAGCAGUCGUUCUUCAUUUACAAAAUCUACAGAUGAACUAUGUUAUAAAGGGCUUCAUAAAAUAACUUGAGAACCCCGUUAAACAAAUGGCUAACAAUACCCAAAGUUGUCUUACAACUGUGUGUAACGCAGUCAACCAUUACAACAAGUGAAUCAAUCAAUUCCGUGACAGGGGUUCACAAAAAACACUAAUAACGUGAGUGUGUGUUUGUGUGUGUGUUGGAGGGGCGGUAAAGGGUGAGGGAUGACUUCUAUAGCGUAACUUACGAUAAUAACCGUGCUCUGUCGUGCAACGCAAUUCUGCAAUAAGGUAAUAUUAAUUACGAAUAAAACAAAUAAAACUUUGAGGCGAUGGACAGAAAAAUAACCCCGUUCCAGGGAAAAGGUAUGUGUCUUGUUACCCUCGUAUUGUUUUAGAUAUACUCUAAGUCCAUUUACCUCACGCAGUAUGUGAGAGAUAACAAGUCAGAAACCGAGAACGAAUAAAGUUAACUGUAUGAACAAUGGUCUGUGCUGUCCUCAGACCAGCUGAGGUGUAUUAAACUGCUAGAUAAGACAUAUUGAGAUGUUUGACACGACGUGAUUCAGUGGCUGGAGAUGAUACAUGUGCAAUAAAACUGGUUUCACUUAAAUAUUGGAUGAUACAUAGUAAUUGAACGUAUUUUAAGGAGAUGAGAUCAAUAACUCGAUUCUAUUCUAAAUGAUGGCUUCAACUUGCAACAGCCCAGCAGUUUGAACCGCUUAGCUUGAAGCAUAAAUUUGAGAAACAUUUAACGUUGUACAUGUAAGUAGAUAUUUUAUGUACUGUAUCAAUUGGUCAUUCAGUACAAAUCAUUAGAAAGAACAAUUGAUCAAUUCAAAUGCCUACACUGAUCUUCAUUUUGCCGCCACAACUUCAUAAAAUGUUAAAGUAUGAUUGACUGCGGAGCACUGUAGGCAGGUAAUCAUGUUAGCAAAGUAUAUUGACGUGCUCAUCUGACUGCAAUUUACGGAGAUUCACGCCAGCAUAUGUGUUCCAGUUUGGCGACAACCACUCUGAUAAUUGUUUAUUCAUAGAUGUGAAUAUAUUCAGAAAUGUAAUUAUGUGUUGCAAUUACGUGAUUGAUAGAAGAUAGUAUAUCUACAUAAGAUUUUCCGAGUGCUAUUGCAUCUUUACACCUUCCAUUAAUGUUGAAGAGUUGCUACAGGCUUCAAGAGCACCGGGUGAAGCCGCAGCCGAUUCAUGCUGCAAUCGUCACAUAUUUCAACAUCUCGCUUGGAUGUAGAAAUGCACCUUUUCUUAGUGUAUGUAAUUUAUAAAUAAGCUCAGCUCCAUAAGUUUGUUGGAAUCUGUUCACUUAUCACUGAUCAUGAUUACGAGUCCAAAUAUUGCUCCCCAAUUUGUCCGAAAGUAGCUCUGAAACCUAGGCUGGAUCAGACUGCAAACUGAUGCUCAGGUUCUGAGGUAGGGCGUGCGUGGGACGGGAAGUUGGUGGGAGAGGAUUGUUGAAAGCUGGGGGAGUGGUGUGGGGGGGGGGGGGGGGGAUGCUGGGCGAGGGAGGAUGCCUUAGCUAAUGACAGCGUCCUCUACAGGAGAGUGAAGACAUAAUUUUCUCGUUGUGUCCAAAAGCUUUGCAAGGAUUUGAAUUUACAGCACAGAAGAGGAUCAUUCGGACCAUCGCCAGUUAUCCGAAGAAGCCACCCAUUUAAUCCGUUUCCUUAUACUUUCCCCUUUACCAAUCACAUGUUCCUUUUCAACAAUGGAUUUUGUUUACACCUCUGUUUCUGGUAAGACAUGUCAUGUCCUAUUUGCAUUUUUAAAAAUCUGAUGUCUCUAAUGUUUCUGUAGUUUGUAACAAUGUAUACUGCUGUGUAUGUGACUAGAGCUUGAAUAUCUGCACUUAAAAGUUGUUAGUAUGUUUCUUAAAGCAACUAAUUUGCUUACCUUGCGACUAUUUGCUGUUGUGGUGUGUUAAUAGGUUAAAUGUUUUUGUAUAUUGUAUCAGUGCUCAUUAUAUUGGUAAUUAGCAUUGUGCGCCGAUAAAACAGACCACCUGGACAAUCUUGUAUAUGUUGAUACGUUCCAUGUACCUGCUCCCUUUGAAUAUUUUCUAUGAGUACAUACUUGUGGAAAACAUGUACUUUGUUUUGAGAGCACAUAGGCUCUCUAUAUGUAUUUGGAUUGUAAAUAGACUGCAUACAAAAAUUAUUUGUGUAUAUGUUCAUGGUGAAGUUAUUUGUACCAAUCAAGUCACUGUUUCGUAAGUGUAUAUCUAUAACUGUGUGCCUGUAUAUUCAGUCUGCGUGCUUUAGCUGUGCAUCAUUUAUUUUAUUUGAACAUGUGCGUUAUUAAUACAUUUGUAUAUUUAUUUUUAGAUGUUAUGUGUCAUGCAUCUGCACAAUGUGUACUUUUGACUGUUGUGUUUGUAUGUUAGGUGUUGUUUGUGCUAUGCUGUGCUCUAUUCCUGUCGGCUUUAUCAUUGUGCUAAGGAGUGCUGUGUUUGCGGACUGUAGAACACAAUCAUGUUCAUAAAUUGUGAAACGCUUUUGUAUAUGAACAUAUGAAGCCUUGUUUAAUUAGUUCCAGCAGUUUUGUUGUAGUAGGACAAGCAGAAUAAUAAGGGAUUAGUACAAUCAACUUCUAUUCACUCAGCAAACAUUGUAAGUAGAAAGAAACAAACUAAAUGUGACAACAACACGCGUAAAACAUAAGAUUUCGAUAGAGCUGGAUUUGGAUUGAUUGGUACAAUAAUGUCACAUUUACAAUUUCUGUAUGACUGGGUGCUUUAAUAGCAGGCUUUUGGCUUUGCAGGGAAGAGAAUGACGAGUCAUAUGCUUUAUUUUCCCAGGGAUUCGUGUUGUAAAAGAAGAACCAAAGCUCUAUUGAGGAAAUGUAAGCAUACGCAGGCAUUGCCAAUACAACACGUCUUGGGUUAACAAUUAGAAUAACAAAUUGUAAUGCUAUCUUUCAGCACUUUCCACAAUCUCAUCCCCCUCACCACCACCCCCACUUUAAAGUCCCUAAAACCACUCCGACCCCGCCCCAUACGAGUUUCUGAAUUAACCAGCCAUUGUUGAAAAGCCAAGUAGUCAAUACCUUGAGGUGUUUUACACAUGUUUUGCGCAAAUAUCUAUUGGGGAUUGUGGUAGCGUUGGAUUAUAGCUGUGGGUAUAUCCGAAAAGAAGACCUCCUACUUGUACAUUGUUUACAAUGAAUUCAAACAGACUGAAAGACGAACAAAAGGUUGUCCAAAUGUGACUUUCUCAACCAUCAUUGUUAAAUUAGAAGACAAGAUAGUGUAACGAUGAAAGAAAUCGCAAGUUCUACCUAUUUACGGUACCUAUCUAUCGAUGCGUCGACCUACCUACCUGCUAUCUAUGUUCGACCUACCUGUCUGUUCGUCCAAUUAACUCCAAUAUGCAUCAAUGACACAAUUAUAAAUGAACUGCAUAGGCAAAACUAUGGUAACCUUCUUGUCUUCCAGUAAUUAAUUCGUGCAGAUGUUUGGUUGACUUGGAAUGAUAAUCAGCGGGCGGUCGAUUUAGAUUUAUUUACAUAGGUGCAAGUUCUUACCUCCACUUGUGAUACUUGUAUUGAGAGAUUUCCUGCCUGUGGUUUAACGUUGUGUUUAAAAAGAUUCAUUUAGUCUUACAUCGCAACACAAACACAAAACGACUUUACAACUUAAACAUCUAGGAAUCCUUUCAUAGUUAAGUGGAAUCCACUUUGGAAAACUUUAAACCUUAGUGUGUCACCACAAUGAGAAUAAAUCUUUUUCAAGGUUAAUUUCACAAUCAUGCGCUCUAUAUAAAAUGACUUGGCCAUCAAAUAGUCAGCAAUGCCUUAAAUUAAGGUUUUUAAUGCGAUUCCAGAUUUAGGUGGUCACCUGUGGCUUAGUUGGUAGCUCCUUUUCAUGGAUCAAAAAAUGGUUCUAGUUCCAUUCCAGGACCCUGAAUACAAACAUAAAAGCUGACAUCCCAGUACAGUAUUGAGGACGUGCUGCAUUGAUGGGUGCUAUUUCUCCGAUAAGAUUCGAAUGGAACCCUCAUUCGUCCUCUCAGUCCAUUAUUUAUGUUUUGCAAUGGUGAGGAAAAUUAAACAGGACUGCAAACAGACGAAAAUACUGCUCCAGCAUUACAAAAUAGUGGUGAUCAGGUAGGUGAUUAAUGAAUACGGUUCCACUAUAGCUUCGAGCUGACUUCAAAAGUAUUUUUUUCAUCUUCAGUAUGCUGACAGAAUGUGUUCGCUGAAUAAAGCAAACAAACGUGAAACACGCAGAAACAUAGGCAUAAGACUGCCUAUUAGCUAGUAAAACUUCAAAUCCCUAAAACUAUAGAUAGCUAUCAGGAUAUAUUUUGACAUGGAAUUUCACAUUGCUAUUGCGUAGAACGAGAACGAUUGCCCUGCAAACAACACAUAAACAGUUCAAGGCAAUGAUUCAUUAAGCAGAUUGUAAUUCGCAUCUCCAAUCGUGGGUAGGUAUUAUUACACAGAGGAAGCAGCAUGUUUUUUUUACAGCGUUGACAGGAACAGUUUGCCCCAUCGUAUAUAAUUUCGUGACUGUUAAGGAAGCCAACAGUUUAUCCUGAGUUUUUUUAAUAAAUCGGUACAGUAUAGGGAGCACUCAUUUACACAAGAAUGCAAAGGCAAGUGAUGCAUCUUUAGUUGGAAGACAGUCGGCGUAUAACAUAGAAUAUAAUUAGCUGGGGACUUGUCAUAAUUCAUCACAGAAUUGCUUGGCAACUAUUGUGAAACGCUGUUUUAAUAACCGAUUGUGCGGUUCAAAAAAAAAUCACACACUUAAAUUGUUAUGAAUAACAAUGAGAAACUGGGCAACUUCUGAUCAAAUUCUGCUUUGUUUUCAGAGCAUUUCUUUUUUCGAGUUGCAUACAUGUAUUGUGGGAGUGACACCACUGCAUUUACGUUCAGGUGAAUAAAAGUCGCCAGAGAAAACUCCUGAAAAUAGCUGUUCUCGCCGGCGUAUUAUUUGACUUUUGACAGAAAGUAACCAAUCAUUUUGCCCGCGUUUAUGCAACAGACCUGCCCCACUACCCUUUGAGAAAGUAAUCCUGCACGUGCAUUGGAAAAGACAUGGAAGAGUCUGUUGUUAUGAAUUUAAUUCUAUGCUGUCAGCCAGACUUUUGAUUCCUAAAUGGCAUGUGUAACUAAACAAUGGCUGUAACCAUAACAAUAAAGCAUUAUGACAUCGAUCUGUUCGUGUUCAAAUAGUAACAACAACUAACUGAUUCGAUUUUAUUCAGAAAGCUCUUUCCCUUUUAUAGAGGAGCUCAGACCGAAAAUGCCCCACAAAGUUAGUUCAAGAAAAACUUUUCUUUUCCCAUAAAAAGCAAGUAAAGAUGCAGGGUCGUCACCCUGUUAAAAGAUAUAGUUUCCCUUAC